GGGAGCCGCAGGGAAACCGAGUCUUAACUGGGCGUUAAGUUGCAGGGUAUAGACCCGAAACCCGGUGAUCUAGCCAUGGGCAGGUUGAAGGUUGGGUAACACUAACUGGAGGACCGAACCGACUAAUGUUGAAAAAUUAGCGGAUGACUUGUGGCUGGGGGUGAAAGGCCAAUCAAACCGGGAGAUAGCUGGUUCUCCCCGAAAGCUAUUUAGGUAGCGCCUCGUGAAUUCAUCUUCGGGGGUAGAGCACUGUUUCGGCUAGGGGGUCAUCCCGACUUACCAACCCGAUGCAAACUACGAAUACCGAAGAAUGUUAUCACGGGAGACACACGGCGGGUGCUAACGUCCGUCGUGAAGAGGGAAACAACCCAGACCGCCAGCUAAGGUCCCAAAGUCAUGGUUAAGUGGGAAACGAUGUGGGAAGGCACAGACAGCCAGGAUGUUGGCUUAGAAGCAGCCAUCAUUUAAAGAAAGCGUAAUAGCUCACUGGUCGAGUCGGCCUGCGCGGAAGAUGUAACGGGGCUAAACCAUGCACCGAAGCUGCGGCAGCGACACUAUGUGUUGUUGGGUAGGGGAGCGUUCUGUAAGCCUGCGAAGGUGACCUGUGAGGGUUGCUGGAGGUAUCAGAAGUGCGAAUGCUGACAUAAGUAACGAUAAAGCGGGUGAAAAGCCCGCUCGCCGGAAGACCAAGGGUUCCUGUCCAACGUUAAUCGGGGCAGGGUGAGUCGACCCCUAAGGCGAGGCCGAAAGGCGUAGUCGAUGGGAAACAGGUUAAUAUUCCUGUACUUGGUGUUACUGCGAAGGGGGGACGGAGAAGGCUAUGUUAGCCGGGCGACGGUUGUCCCGGUUUAAGCAUGUAGGCUGGUUAUCCAGGCAAAUCCGGAUAAUCAAGGCUGAGGUGUGAUGACGAGGCACUACGGUGCUGAAGUAACAAAUGCCCUGCUUCCAGGAAAAGCCUCUAAGCAUCAGGUAACAUCAAAUCGUACCCCAAACCGACACAGGUGGUCAGGUAGAGAAUACCAAGGCGCUUGAGAGAACUCGGGUGAAGGAACUAGGCAAAAUGGUGCCGUAACUUCGGGAGAAGGCACGCUGGUGUGUAGGUGAAGUCCCUGCGGAUGGAGCUGAGACCAGUCGAAGAUACCAGCUGGCUGCAACUGUUUAUUAAAAACACAGCACUGUGCAAACACGAAAGUGGACGUAUACGGUGUGACGCCUGCCCGGUGCCGGAAGGUUAAUUGAUGGGGUUAUCCGUAAGGAGAAGCUCUUGAUCGAAGCCCCGGUAAACGGCGGCCGUAACUAUAACGGUCCUAAGGUAGCGAAAUUCCUUGUCGGGUAAGUUCCGACCUGCACGAAUGGCGUAAUGAUGGCCAGGCUGUCUCCACCCGAGACUCAGUGAAAUUGAACUCGCUGUGAAGAUGCAGUGUACCCGCGGCAAGACGGAAAGACCCCGUGAACCUUUACUAUAGCUUGACACUGAACAUUGAGCCUUGAUGUGUAGGAUAGGUGGGAGGCUUUGAAGCGUGGACGCCAGUCUGCGUGGAGCCAACCUUGAAAUACCACCCUU
This 1564-nucleotide ribosomal RNA is filed under the name Klebsiella pneumoniae. Its description in RNAcentral is "partial 23S ribosomal RNA". It matches the Rfam family "Bacterial large subunit ribosomal RNA", at positions 661 to 2207 of the family's 2925-position model. The record is from RNAcentral. Lineage: Bacteria; Pseudomonadati; Pseudomonadota; Gammaproteobacteria; Enterobacterales; Enterobacteriaceae.